RNAcentral lists this ribosomal RNA (241 nucleotides) under uncultured bacterium. RNAcentral describes it as "partial 16S ribosomal RNA". It matches the Rfam family "Bacterial small subunit ribosomal RNA", at positions 524 to 764 of the family's 1533-position model. The record is from RNAcentral.
UACGAAGGGUGCAACGUUGCUCGGAAUUAUUGGGCGUAAAGCGCACGUAGGCGGCUUAGCAAGUCGGAAGUGAAAUCCCUCGGCUCAACCAAGGAAGUGCUUUCGAAACUGCUGAGCUUGAGUACUUAAGAGGAUCGCGGAAUUCCCGGUGUAGAGGUGAAAAUUCGUAGAUAUCGGGAGGAACACCAGUGGCGAAGGCGGACGAUCUGGAGAGUACUGACGCUGAGGUGCGAAAGCGUGG